Molecule: ribosomal RNA, 504 nt
Filed under: Lasiodiplodia theobromae
Lineage: Eukaryota; Fungi; Ascomycota; Dothideomycetes; Botryosphaeriales; Botryosphaeriaceae
Description: eukaryotic LSU rRNA
Rfam family: 5.8S ribosomal RNA (bases 128-281)
Source: RNAcentral
CGAGCUCGGCUCGACUCUCCCACCCUUUGUGAACGUACCUCUGUUGCUUUGGCGGCUCCGGCCGCCAAAGGACCUUCAAACUCCAGUCAGUAAACGCAGACGUCUGAUAAACAAGUUAAUAAACUAAAACUUUCAACAACGGAUCUCUUGGUUCUGGCAUCGAUGAAGAACGCAGCGAAAUGCGAUAAGUAAUGUGAAUUGCAGAAUUCAGUGAAUCAUCGAAUCUUUGAACGCACAUUGCGCCCCUUGGUAUUCCGGGGGGCAUGCCUGUUCGAGCGUCAUUACAACCCUCAAGCUCUGCUUGGAAUUGGGCACCGUCCUCACUGCGGACGCGCCUCAAAGACCUCGGCGGUGGCUGUUCAGCCCUCAAGCGUAGUAGAAUACACCUCGCUUUGGAGCGGUUGGCGUCGCCCGCCGGACGAACCUUCUGAACUUUUCUCAAGGUUGACCUCGGAUCAGGUAGGGAUACCCGCUGAACUUAAGCAUAUCAAUAGCCCGGAGGAA